Molecule: ribosomal RNA, 460 nt
Filed under: uncultured bacterium
Lineage: Bacteria
Description: partial 16S ribosomal RNA
Rfam family: Bacterial small subunit ribosomal RNA
Source: RNAcentral
CCUACGGGAGGCAGCAGUGAGGAAUAUUGGUCAAUGGACGAGAGUCUGAACCAGCCAAGUAGCGUGAAGGAUGACUGCCCUAUGGGUUGUAAACUUCUUUUAUAUGGGAAUAAAAUGUUCCACGUGUGGGAUUUUGUAUGUACCAUAUGAAUAAGGAUCGGCUAACUCCGUGCCAGCAGCCGCGGUAAUACGGAGGAUUCGAGCGUUAUCCGGAUUUAUUGGGUUUAAAGGGAGCGUAGGUGGUCUGUUAAGUCAGUUGUGAAAGUUUGCGGCUCAACCGUAAAAUUGCAGUUGAAACUGGCAGUCUUGAGGACAGUAGAGGUGGGCGGAAUUCGUGGUGUAGCGGUGAAAUGCUUAGAUAUCACGAAGAACUCCGAUUGCGAAGGCAGUUCACUGGACUGCAACUGACACUGAGGCUCGAAAGUGUGGGUAUCAAACAGGAUUAGAUACCCCGGUAGUC